Molecule: ribosomal RNA, 492 nt
Filed under: uncultured bacterium
Lineage: Bacteria
Description: partial 16S ribosomal RNA
Rfam family: Bacterial small subunit ribosomal RNA
Source: RNAcentral
AGUGAACGCUGGCGGUAGGCCUAACACAUGCAAGUCGAACGGCAGCACAGUAAGAGCUUGCUCUUACGGGUGGCGAGUGGCGGACGGGUGAGGAAUACAUCGGAAUCUACUUUUUCGUGGGGGAUAACGUAGGGAAACUUACGCUAAUACCGCAUACGACCUACGGGUGAAAGCAGGGGAUCUUCGGACCUUGCGCGAUUGAAUGAGCCGAUGUCGGAUUAGCUAGUUGGCGGGGUAAAGGCCCACCAAGGCGACGAUCCGUAGCUGGUCUGAGAGGAUGAUCAGCCACACUGGAACUGAGACACGGUCCAGACUCCUACGGGAGGCAGCAGUGGGGAAUAUUGGACAAUGGGCGCAAGCCUGAUCCGGCCAUACCGCGUGGGUGAAGAAGGCCUUCGGGUUGUAAAGCCCUUUCGUUGGGAAAGAAAAGCAGCAGGUUAAUACCCCGCUGUUCUGACGGUACCCAAAGAAUAAGCACCGGCUAACUUCGUG